ACCUGGCUGGCUCAGUCGGUAGAGCAUAUGACUCUUGAUCUCAGGGUUGUGAGUUCAAACACCACGUCGGGCA
Molecule: transfer RNA, 73 nt
Filed under: Felis catus (domestic cat)
Lineage: Eukaryota; Metazoa; Chordata; Mammalia; Carnivora; Felidae
Rfam family: tRNA
About the family: Transfer RNA (tRNA) molecules are approximately 80 nucleotides in length. Their secondary structure includes four short double-helical elements and three loops (D, anti-codon, and T loops).
Source: Rfam by way of RNAcentral